AAUACUGUUUACUUUUUCGGUAUUGAAACCCAUUUCUGUAAUUAAUAUCAAAUGAUUGACCUCUGUUGGUAUUCUCAGCAUAUCUAGUAUUUCGCGCAUUUGCUCCAGCAUUUGCUAUAUGAUUUUCGUUAUUAUAAUUUUGUCUGAAAUUAUUAUUUUGUUGAGAGUGAUUGAAAUUUCCUGCUUGAUUAUUUAUGUGGUUUGGCUCAGAAGUAACUAAUUGAAUGUGGUGCAAACAUUAAUAAGACAGUCCUCUUCCACAAUCUACACCGGCUACCUGGGCGCCGCGACGAGCGGUGCUGUCAACUCAACCCAGCAAGCAGCCGGGUGAAGAGGAGGCUAGUUUUCGAGGACAAGACCGUGCUCACUCAAUCAAAGAAACGAGUGCUGGAAGAGGACAGCUUGAUCGUGCCUCUCUUGAGGGAGGAGGAGGAAGUGGAGACAGAGGACGAGAUGCAAUCGGAGAGCUUUCUGAGAUUAUUGAAUAGCCACGUCGAGAAGCCAUGGACGCCUCUCCGCGAGUUGGAAGAGGGGUUGCCAUAUCCGAUAUGUGACAUGAGAGAGGCGUCCAACCAGCACGGGCGGCGAAUUGUGCUCAAAAUCCGGGUACCCGGACUAUGUACAACAGAUGUUUAUCUUCCAGAAAGAUUUACCCGGAUUUUGAGCACAAAAGACAUUGAAAAUUUUAAAUUAAAGUGCAAAACCUUAUCUCUGUUUGUAAAGCAUGUUAAUGCUUUUAUGACUGACAU
Long non-coding RNA from Nilaparvata lugens (brown planthopper), 749 nucleotides. RefSeq lists it as uncharacterized. The transcript is spliced from 2 exons. Lineage: Eukaryota; Metazoa; Arthropoda; Insecta; Hemiptera; Delphacidae. The record is from RefSeq and is a predicted model, not a curated record.